GGCUGUGAAUGCUUCAGCCAAACAGACACGCCCUUCCCCAGGGUCUCAGGCUAGUCAGAAUUUGAGAAGAUCUUUGAUGUUUAAUAAAACUGGCUUCUAUGUGUCCCCUUUAAAAACAAAUCAAAAUGAGCCCAAAUCCCAGACGCGACCUGCCCGUCGCAUGUGUGUGUUAGUCAGCUGGGGCUGGGUUAUCCCUCAGUAAACAGACAUCCCCAAAGCUCAGUGGCUUAAAACCCAAAAGGUUUACUUCUCUUUCUUACUACACAUCCACUGUGAGUGAGCCAGGGCCCUUCUCCACACCAGCCUCACCCCAGGAUGGAGGCACCCCGGGCAGACAGCUUCCCCAGGUCGCUGGUCCCCAGGCCAGAUGUAAAGAGAUGACAGUCCAGGUUCCCGAAACCAGAGCUUGAGCAAAGCAAGUGCAUCAGUGCUUCAGUGGUGAGUGCAUCCCCAAGAAACGGAGGAGCUUCUGGGGAGAGCAAAGGAGUGUCUGGUCUGCUGGAAAUGAAGGCCAAAUCAAGAAUCCCCCUUCCCCAGGCCAUGAGGUCUCCUCGGAGGGGGGAGGCUGUUAGAGACAGGUUUCAUCGGGGUGGGCUGGCUUUGGCCUCCCUCAUGUGCAUCAUGACCAAGCGGCCUGUGAAGAGAAGGUCCCCGCCCACCUGGCAGCGCCUGCCCUGAGGCUGGCCGGCCUUCCUGGACCUGCCUGAACUGGCACCACCCAGUUUCCCCACCAGCCCAGCCUCUGCUCUUCUUCCCGCCUCCACCAUGUGCCUCAGCACUGCAGGACGCCUUGGCCUUGGUGCUCUCAGGUCAGAAGCAUCCACACACCCCUGGGCCACGUGGAGGCCGUGUGGGGCACCAGGAAAGGAUUCUGCACUUUCGGGAUUACCGGCCUGAGGCGGUAGAAUUGGGGAGGGGCUUGGUCGCCUGUGAGCAGGACUUCAGAUCCCGAAUCAUCGCAGGGCAGCCCGCUCAGUGCCUGGAGGGCAGCGUGAUGAGAAGGGGUUCAGAUCUGAGCCCCCCAGUUACUGGGCCGUCUUGGCACAAGACAGACUCUCCCAGCCUUGGUUUCAGUGUCUGUAAAAUGAGGAUGACGUGGGCCUGACCGGCUUAGAGGGAAGGCCCUGGCACGUCCUGGGUAACGUCUUGUUCUUCCCACCCCCUGGGCUGGGUUCCUGGUGGGCAGACAGCUGGCUCAGUCUCCAUCGCAUGCGGUUGGAACCCCAGCGAUGCCCCACACGUGCUUCCCCCGGAGCUGCAGCCUGCGAAGCUCGGCCAUCAUGCAGGACCGCAGGCCUUCCUGGUGCUCCGCGGGGCUGUCAGCUUACAGAGUCCUUCUGUUUGUCCAGGUUAGCCCCAGCCCUCUGGGGCCAGCCAUUGGGCAUCCUGGACGUGAAAAAGGGCCUGGUGUGCAGCCGUCGGCGGCCCCCUCACCUCCUGGGAGCCACUGCUCCUCUUCAGAUGAUGCCAGAGUCCCCUGCUGGGGCCUGGGAGGUGGCCCCCCCGCCCCAAUGGUGCUGUCUAGUUUUCCAGGCGCCACUGCUCAUCGGAAGGACUGCUCUGCGCAGGCCCCUCCCCCGGGAAGGAUGCGUUGGUCAGAAGUCUCCCCACACCCCAUCGCUCCUUAACCCCCUUCCUUGGGAUUCUCUCAAAUCUUUGUCCUUUACACUUUUUAUUGAAGAAUAAUACACCCCAACUAUUUCCCCUCAGCCAAGAAUGGGUUCAUGGCCACAUAUGAAGGGCACCUGAGGACAUAGCUAGUGAUGCUGGCUCUGUCACUAGCUUGCAGGUGACCCUUAGGACUUGGUGCGGUCUCCCGGGGUGGCUUCCUUAUUUCUUCCAGGAGGUGGCAGGGUGGCUGUUCCGAGGAGAUGGGUGCAGUGCAGGGAGUCCAGCGUAUGUGGCUGAAGCCGUGGCGUUGGGUCAGGCUGGGGAGUCGGGGAGAGGGCUGGGGAGGUGAGCGGUGUGCACCCAGGGGGCCGGGCCAAGCAGAGAAGGGUUUACAGAAGGGAGCAGUUUGCGGGGUGGAGAGACUGAGGUCAGCCCAUCCCAGGUGUGUCUUGGGAGAAGCAUGUCCGUGGGAGUCGGGUGAUGAGGCUGCGGUUGAGUCAGUCUGCCUCCGAGAAGAGCCGUGAGCUGGGAGGAGGAGGGGAUGAGGGGCGAGGUGGCCGGAAGGGCUGUGAGCCGCAGGGUGGGGCUUUGUGGUCUAGCCUGGGCCAGGGACCUGGCGGGUCACGUCUGUGUCUGUGUGGUGUGUGCAGGGCUGACUGCCUGGGCCGUUCCUGGCCUCUGCGCAUGCACCCUGACCCACUGGCCUCUCUCUGUGGUUUGCAGAUGGGUAAACUGAGGCAAGAGCCACCCAGGCCCAGGGGGAGUGGAAGACGGUGCUGUAACUCUCCCUGGUCUUUCAUUCAUUCACACCCCGUGCAGCUCUCCCCCGCCCUGCGGUUGGCCAGUCCGUGGUGGCAGCUGUGUGGUGAUGCUUCUCUCGUCCCGUCCCUGACCCCUCCUGCUUCCCCAUCGUGUUCCGGCCCCUCCAGUCCCCACCACGUGCUCACUGAGCUGCCUGGACCGCAGCCACACCCUAGGGCCUUUGUCCAGUUUAUCGUCUUUUCUUUUUUUUUUCCUUCACAUCUCCUUGCCACAGGUGCUGGGAGGAGGCAGGCGAGGGUCAUCCUGCAGAGCGAGACUAGAGACAUCAAACUUCCUCUUUCCCUUUCGCUGCCCUGGAGAUCAGGGAACUCCCACGUGUGGUAACUCUGCACAGCCCAGCUGCCCAAACUUCAGGACAGGGUUGAGGGCAGCAGAUGCUGCAGGCCUGGGGGUGGGGGACAAGCCGGAGAAGACCCCCCGAUUCCCGCUGACCCCGAGGGUCUCGGGGCUCACCGAGUAGGAAGCAAAGCGAUGCCUCGCCUGGUCCAACCCCUCUUCCCUCUUCUGUCAGCUGACCUUGAGGCUGGACGUGACUGUGAGAUGAAAUGUUCGUUUCUGCUUUUAAAACAGAAAACCAAACAGAAACCAUUGUCCAGUGAACUCUCAGCCAAUCCGGGAGCAGAGCACUGGUUGGAGCCAGGGGCCUGGGCCCACGUCCUGGCCUGACCACCAGCCGGCUGAGUGACCACGGGCAGGUCACCCAUGUGUCACGGCCUUGGUUUCCACACUAGUGAGUUGGUCAGGGGGGGAAGAUGUUUCUCCACGGCGUCUCUGGUUUUCAACAUCAUGAGGCUGAGUCCUGGUAACAUGGUUGCGAGCAAGUAAUACGGUCUUAAAGUAAGUUACCAAAAAAAGUGCAACUGUUCUGGUUUUUUACAAUGCAAGUGUUUUAUUUUCAAAGGUGACUUGGAAGAUGCAGCUGUCCCAAAGGGGAAGAAUAUUUUCUUAUGCCACAAAAGAGGUUGGAACUGAUGAGGCUUAAACUCACAUUUAUAUUUCAGAUAGAAUUGGAGUCUCACUUCCCCCUUUCAGUGCUGGAGCGAAUUAGUCACGCUUCCUCGUGGACGUGGAGGAGAGAUCUUCUGUGCUACUCAAAGGCCCUUUCAAAAAGUUCUGGGGACAAGCACCGUGUGUGUGUAUGAGAGAGAGAGAGAGACAGAGACAGAGAAAUGAAGAGGGAGAGAGAGAGAGAGGGACAGAGAGGGAGAGAGAUGGGAGAUGGAAAAGAUGUGUGGACGGGGUGGAAGGAACAAAAUGAUUAAGACACAGUCGCUGACCUCAAUGGUUUGCUGUCCGAUGGAAGGGCCUAACAUGCUGACAAAUAUAACAAUAUACAACGUAGAAUGGGGCUAUAAAUAAAGGGUCCUGGGGAGAAUGAUGGAAACCCUGGUUAAUUCUUGCUGGAGGGAUCCAUGGAAGACUUCCUGGAGGAGGUGGCAUUGGCAUGUGAGUUUUCUCUUAAGGGUGAGCUGGAUAUCUGUGGGUAGACUGGGAAGGCGUCUGGGCAAAGGAAAUAGCAGCGGCAGAGGUAGGCUGCUCCCUCCCUCUCCAAGGCUUGGGGCUCCGGCCCUGCCCUCUUCAGGUCACCCUUUUCUCCCCAGAUGGGGCAGAGCGCACAGCAGGCCGGGCCCCAUGCCUGCCCGGCCCCUCCCCCCUCCCUUGGGCGGCACAGGGGCGGCUGUCCGCGGUCUGCAGGCAGCGAAGGGGGGGCUUUCACUUUGCUUGGCAGGAUCUUUUCUUAGAAUCACAGUUGGUUCUUGCAAAACUUUCCUGUCACAUAAAAGCCAAGAAGACAGUUUUCGAAAAGCUUUACGUGCAGAAAAGGAAUGACCGAGGAAGGAUGCUGUGUCACUGAUGAGGCUGUCUCCACCCCUCCGUCCCGUCCCUUUAUCGCUGGGAUGGCGGCAGGGCAGGCAGCGAGGAGGCCGCAGAGCGGCAGUGAGCGCAGCCACGUCCUUGGUGGACAGAAGCCCUUCACCAGUGCUGACCUCUGCUGUCCGUCCAUCCGGCCCUCAUCUGUGCAGCUAACUUCCAGCGUCAUCUUCAACCCACCUCAGGGCUGGGAGUUCUGAAGGACGGAGUGGGGAGAGGAAAUGAGACUGAAAGGGGAGACGGUGGAUCCUUCCAGGCCAGAGUGGCCCCCAAAUGAUGACAUCUGGGGGGACCUUCUGCUGCAGGGAGGCCCGAUGGGGUAGUGAUAGAGCAGGCGGGCCCUGGAGCAUGCCCUCCUGGGAGCAGAUCUUGCCGUCUCCCCCCGACGACUGCGUGAUCUUGGGAACUGACCUUACUUCCUGGUGCUUUAGUUUCCUCUCCUGUAAAAGGCUCAGUAAGACUUCCUGUCACGCGGAGCGCUCUGAGGACCACGGGAGAUGGAGCACAUACCGAGUUUAGAACAGGGACUGGUGCGCACACACCAGGGACGUCACCGACGUCCUGGGACUCCUGCAUCUCACCUUCCCCGGGGGCCUCCUGAAACAACGGGGCCUCAGCCCAAUUUCUGGUUAUAAAACCACCGGGCACGUUUAUUCACUGGGGAAGAGACUGCUGAAGGACAAGACUUCAAACCCGGAAGUGCACGGACUCUUUAGUUAAUUUCCACAAACGUUUCCUGAGAGCUGUCAUAUUUCAGAAGCUUUGAUGGGCUCCAAA
Camelus dromedarius (Arabian camel) is the source of this 5082-nucleotide long non-coding RNA. RefSeq lists it as uncharacterized. The record is from RefSeq and is a predicted model, not a curated record. Lineage: Eukaryota; Metazoa; Chordata; Mammalia; Artiodactyla; Camelidae. The transcript has 5 exons.